This is a small nuclear RNA of Cyprinus carpio carpio, 163 nucleotides long. Its record names the gene U1. It matches the Rfam family "U1 spliceosomal RNA". From Rfam's summary of the family: U1 is a small nuclear RNA (snRNA) component of the spliceosome (involved in pre-mRNA splicing). Its 5' end forms complementary base pairs with the 5' splice junction, thus defining the 5' donor site of an intron. Lineage: Eukaryota; Metazoa; Chordata; Actinopteri; Cypriniformes; Cyprinidae. The record is from Ensembl.
AUACUUACCUGGCAGGGGAGACACCAUGAUCAAGAAGGCGGUUCACCCAGGGCGAGGCUCGUCCAUUGCACUCCGGCUGUGCUGACCCCUGCGAAUCCCCAAAUGUGGAAAUCUCAACUGCAUAAUUUAUGGUAGUGGAGGACUGCAUUUGCGCUCUCCCCUG